Molecule: long non-coding RNA, 2518 nt
Filed under: Olea europaea subsp. europaea
Lineage: Eukaryota; Viridiplantae; Streptophyta; Magnoliopsida; Lamiales; Oleaceae
Source: RNAcentral
AUCGCACUCCUUUGAAGAUUACUAUUAUAGGUAAGGCCUUUAUAUGAAUUCAGAAAUUUAAUAUCAAAUCAAAAUACUAGAAAAAAAUUUUUAGGCUCGAAAAUUUUGUUUAAGCACAAUGGCGUUUGAUUUUUCUGAUUUAUUAUUCGUAUUCUGAUUUUAUUUUCGGUUAAUCUUACUGAAAUUUAUCCUACGAUGGAAAUACUAAUGUAUAUUAUUUUUCUUGCAGGGUAGUGGUGUGUGCAGAAUUUGGAACAAAUUUUCUGAUUUUCAAGUAAAGGUAGGGAUUUUUUUUUUUUUUUAUCUUUUUCUUAAAAUUUAAACUUUUGAGUAUAACAGGAUCUUACUUCUUCAAUAGUGUUUAUUUUUUCUUUUGACUUAUCUAAAAUAAACUAUUGAUAAUUUAGGCAAAAGUUUAGUUCAUUUGAAAAUUGACAUUAAAUCCAAGCAUUUUUAUGGGAAACUAAGAAUUUUAAAAUGCGUAGAGGAACUGUGGCUAGAGAGUGUUUUGGUAAUGGAAAUGUGAUAUAUAAGAAGUUAGAGAGAAAAUAGAAGUAUUUUCACGAGGUAUGUGAACAUAGAUAUUGCUUAGUGCUUUCUAGGAUUCAUAAAUGUACUUUGCAAGAACCAAAUUUGGUUAAAUUUACAGCGUAACAAUAAGAAGAAUAGUUUUAGUACCGGUCAGGUUCAUCAGGAAAAUGUCUGUUCAUUGAUCUCACGUUUUUAUGUGCCUCUCUUUGAUAGGGUUUGUCCUCCAUGUGCUGAAUAUAAGAGGAUGAAUAAGAUUUUGUUUUAGGCAAAAGAAUAUUGUAAUGUCAAAUGUUCAUCUAUUUAAGUCCCGGAAGGUCACUUAUCGUAAUGGCGUGCAGUUAUGCACUGUACUAAAAGUAAAUGUUUUAAACCCUCUUUAUUAUCUAGUAUGGCACUAAUACUUUAUUGCAAUAAAACAUAGUACUGAUGAAGGUGCAUAAUGCCCUAUUGAAGGAUGUGUCAGGGGUGUUACAUUAAUAGAAUAGAUGAAAAUUUAUGGUCAACAAAACACUGUGAUUCUUUUGCUGUUUUAAUCCCAAAUUUUGACGAAAGUAUACUACAUAUGCUUUUAACUUAACUCUACUUGAUAAUAUAUGCAUUCACCUAAACUAUAUGUCUUACUCAUUCUCCUAUUUUUCUUUUAAUCUUGUUUGCAAUCUUCAAAUUAGUUGAUGUCUUAAUGGGAUUACUGGAAGAGACAUGAUUAGAGCCUCUUAAAUUCGGAUGCUCUGGUAGCAUGAAUAUAGGAAAAUUUGGUGACCUCCAUAUGUUUUAUAUGAGUCUGGCUAAGAAUUUUAUCAUCUUUUGACCUUUGAGAAGUUAUUUUUCCCCAAAAACACGAUUUGUCUGCACGUGACAUUUGGUACCUUACUCGAUCAGAGUGUCUUUGUUAGAUGACAUAAGGACUCAUAUUGUGUUCUUUAGUCUCUCCUAACUCUAUUUUUUAUAUGAAAUUGAUGGUAGCAUAGGUUUGGAAUGAUUAAUGCACGCGUAGGUGUUAUACACAAUCAAGAAUUUGGAGGAGUUUUACAAAGUAUCUUUAGGAGUUGUAUACAUUUUCCAAGGGAUAAGAUAACCUGGCUAUGACUCAAUUUUGUGUGUUAUCCAUGUUUACAGGCUGGGGAUGGAGAAAAAGGAAAUGCAAGAGCAGUCAGGUGAUUAUUAUAGAAAUUUCAAGUGAGAAAAUAAAAGAAGUUUGAUUAAUGCAUCAGAACAUUUCAAACUGAAUUGAUACUCCUGUCUCUAGGGCUGUGGGCGAACACAUCUAUAUUAUCUUCAUUCUGCAUUUAUUUUAUACUAUACCAUGAAAGUAAAACCAUACUUCAUCUGUUCCAUUCUAUUAUAUGUAGGGGUGAACAAAAUGUCCAGACCAAACCAAAUCAGACCAGAACCGAACAAAACCAAACCAAGCGGUUGAGUUCAGUUCUAUCAAAAAAAUUAAUGGUUUUGGUUCUUUGAACCGAAAACUAUUUAGUUUUGGUUAUGGUUUAGUUCUAGUUCAAAAAUCAGAACCAAACCAAACUUAAUAUUUAAUUUUAUAUAUAAUAAUUAGUGGAGACCGUAAUUUUAUAUUCAUUGGAGAUAGUCCAUUAAUUAAAUACAGUUUAUUAAUCAAUUUUGGGUCAUUAGAGAUAAAUAACUCAUUAGUUGUCUACACUCUAAUUUUGUAUUCAAUUGAAUUAUUUCUCUUCCACUCAUUUUCAAUUUACACAACGUCGCAGCAUAUUGGUACUGCAUUUCAUCAAGUUAGUGGAGUGUCAUUUAAAAUUGAAAAAUGAAAUUGGUCAGUUACUUAAAAAGUCUCUAAACUUUUUUUUUUACCUUAAUUGUUUUAUGAGUUAUUUGUGUUCUUCCCAAAUAGAGGAAAACCAUAUAAACAUUCAUGAAAUAUUAAACGAUUAAUGUUGCCUGGAGAAGUGGAUUGUAAAAAUUUUGAUAAUUCAUUCUUUAUUGUAAGGGUGUGCCUUCAAAAAUACUGCAAUUAAUU